CUCUUAUCAAGAGAGGUGGAGGGAAACGGGCCCUAUGAAACCCGGCAACCGGUGCGUAUGUACAACGGUGCCAAUUCCUGCGGAAGUAAUUCUGCAAGAUAAGAG
Clostridium argentinense CDC 2741 is the source of this 105-nucleotide regulatory RNA element. It matches the Rfam family "SAM riboswitch aptamer (S box leader)". From Rfam's summary of the family: The SAM riboswitch is found upstream of a number of genes which code for proteins involved in methionine or cysteine biosynthesis in Gram-positive bacteria. The SAM riboswitch acts at the level of transcription termination control. The record is from Rfam. Lineage: Bacteria; Bacillati; Bacillota; Clostridia; Eubacteriales; Clostridiaceae.